UACGGAGGUGGCAAGCGUUGUUCGGAAUUACUGGGCGUAAAGGGCGCGUAGGCGGCUAGGCAAGUCAGGUGUGAAAGCCCCGAGCUUAACUCGGGAAUUGCAUCUGAAACUGCUGUGCUUGAGUUCUGGAGGGGGUAGUGGAAUUCCCAGUGUAGCGGUGAAAUGCGUAGAUAUCGGGAGGAACACCUGCGGCGAAGGCGGCUACCUGGACAGAAACUGACGCUGAGGCGCGAAAGCCAGGGGAGCAAACGGG
RNAcentral lists this ribosomal RNA (253 nucleotides) under uncultured bacterium. RNAcentral's name for it is "partial 16S ribosomal RNA". It matches the Rfam family "Bacterial small subunit ribosomal RNA", at positions 524 to 776 of the family's 1533-position model. The record is from RNAcentral.